UGGGGAAUAUUGGACAAUGGGCGAAAGCCUGAUCCAGCCAUGCCGCGUGUGUGAAGAAGGUCUUCGGAUUGUAAAGCACUUUAAGUUGGGAGGAAGGGCAUUAACCUAAUACGUUAGUGUUUUGACGUUACCGACAGAAUAAGCACCGGCUAACUCUGUGCCAGCAGCCGCGGUAAUACAGAGGGUGCAAGCGUUAAUCGGAAUUACUGGGCGUAAAGCGCGCGUAGGUGGUUUGUUAAGUUGGAUGUGAAAUCCCCGGGCUCAACCUGGGAACUGCAUUCAAAACUGACCGACUAGAGUAUGGUAGAGGGUGGUGGAAUUUCCUGUGUAGCGGUGAAAUGCGUAGAUAUAGGAAGGAACACCAGUGGCGAAGGCGACCACCUGGACUAAUACUGACACUGAGGUGCGAAAGCGUGGGGAGCAAACA
This 427-nucleotide ribosomal RNA is filed under the name uncultured bacterium. Its description in RNAcentral is "partial 16S ribosomal RNA". It matches the Rfam family "Bacterial small subunit ribosomal RNA", at positions 355 to 774 of the family's 1533-position model. The record is from RNAcentral.